UAUACCAUUCACAUAUAUAGUUUAUGUGUCUUCAUUCUCAUCCACCUCUAUGUGUUGUAUGAAUAUUUUCUCCCAAAACACAUAAAGGUGCUUCUAAUGGAUUCCAUAGAAGGGAAUCAUUACGAGAAAACAGAAACAAAUCCUAAGAUUCUCUUGCAAAAUAGCAUCAUUUUGCUUCUUUCUCAAUGGUAUGCCCUUCAAAUGGCUGUCCAAAAUCAAUGGGGUGGUUAUGAUUCUCUUCAAAAAUCACACCAACUUGCUACCGAUUUAUUUUUAUGGUUCUCCAAAUCCAAUGCACCAACUCCGGUUGAAGAUUUAGAAAACCUACUUCAUGAAUCUAUGUUGCUUACAUUCAACACUGAGAUAGAAGAUGGCAGCAUUGAACAGGUAGCAGAACAAUUGUUGGCUAUCCAUGAAGAGUAUUUGUUUUGCCACUCAUCUUGAUAUUUGAAAGAACUACACUUUUGAAGUGGCCAAAAAGUUCUACUUGGCAGACACGUGACUAUGGUUGCGGAUGGUAAUUGUCAGUGUUAUAUUAUUAAAGGAAGACAAAUUAACGAGAUGGUGGAGGAAGUAAGAAGGAAGAAAAGGAAAUGUCAAAUGUUCAAGGUUGAUUUCGAAAAGGCCUACGACUCUGUGAGUUGGUCCUUUCUAUAAUUUGUGAUGUAUAAGAUGAGAUUUCUUACUUUACGAUGUACCUAGAUCGUAGAAUGCCUAAAAACAUCUAGAAUUUCCGUCUUAGUAAAUGAUAGUCCAAUAGAAGAAUUUGUUGUAUCAAAGGGGUUGCGUUUCUAUUGACUCCUUUCUUAAUUUGUUGUA
Cajanus cajan (pigeon pea) is the source of this 819-nucleotide RNA transcript. It is a transcript of the gene named Pre-rRNA-processing protein TSR2, conserved region, with no coding region annotated. Lineage: Eukaryota; Viridiplantae; Streptophyta; Magnoliopsida; Fabales; Fabaceae. The record is from RefSeq and is a predicted model, not a curated record.